This 315-nucleotide ribosomal RNA is filed under the name uncultured bacterium. RNAcentral's name for it is "bacterial SSU rRNA". It matches the Rfam family "Bacterial small subunit ribosomal RNA", at positions 382 to 694 of the family's 1533-position model. The record is from RNAcentral.
CCUGAACCAGCCAAGUCGCGUGAGGGAAUAAGGCCCUACGGGUUGUAAACCUCUUUUGCCGCGGAGCAAGGGCUGGGACGAGUCCCGGCCCGAAAAAAACCCGGAGAAAAAGCAUCGGCUAACUCCGUGCCAGCAGCCGUGGUAAUACGGAGGAUGCGAGCGUUAUCCGGAUUUAUUGGGUUUAAAGGGUGCGUAGGCGGGCUUUUAAGUCAGCGGUAAAAAUUCGGGGCUCAACCCCGUCCGGCCGUUGAAACUGGGGGCCUUGAGUGGGCGAGAAGAAGGCGGAAUGCGUGGUGUAGCGGUGAAAUGCAUAGA